RNAcentral lists this ribosomal RNA (497 nucleotides) under uncultured bacterium. Its description in RNAcentral is "partial 16S ribosomal RNA". It matches the Rfam family "Bacterial small subunit ribosomal RNA", at positions 28 to 507 of the family's 1533-position model. The record is from RNAcentral.
GAUGAACGCCCGCUCCUUUCCUAAUACAUUCAAGUCGAGCGAACGGACGAGAAGCUUUCUUCUCUGAUGUUAGCGGCGGACGGGUGAGUAACACGUGGAUAACCUACCUAUAAGACUGGGAUAACUUCGGGAAACCGGAGCUAAUACCGGAUAAUAUUUUGAACCGCAUGGUUCAAAAGUGAAAGACGGUCUUGCUGUCACUUAUAGAUGGAUCCGCGCUGCAUUAGCUAGUUGGUAAGGUAACGGCUUACCAAGGCAACGAUGCAUAGCCGACCUGAGAGGGUGAUAGGCCACCAUGGAACUGAGACACGGUCCAGACUCCUACGGGAGGCAGCAGUAGGGAAUCUUCCGCAAUGGGCGAAAGCCUGACGGAGCAACGCCGCGUGAGUGAUGAAGGUCUUCGGAUCGUAAAACUCUGUUAUUAGGGAAGAACAUAUGUGUAAGUAACUGUGCACAUCUUGACGGUACCUAAUCAGAAAGCCACGGCUAACUACGUG